UCGGGAAUAUUGCGCAAUGGAGGAAACUCUGACGCAGUGACGCCGCGUGCAGGAAGAAGGUUUUCGGAUUGUAAACUGCUUUAGACAGGGAGGAAAAAAGACAGUACCUGUAGAAUAAGCUCCGGCUAACUACGUGCCAGCAGCCGCGGUAAUACGUAGGGAGCAAGCGUUAUCCGGAUUUAUUGGGUGUAAAGGGUGCGUAGACGGGAAGACAAGUUAGUUGUGAAAUCCCUCGGCUUAACUGAGGAACUGCAACUAAAACUAUCAUUCUUGAGUGCUGGAGAGGAAAGUGGAAUUCCUAGUGUAGCGGUGAAAUGCGUAGAUAUUAGGAGGAACACCAGUGGCGAAGGCGACUUUCUGGACAGUAACUGACGUUGAGGCACGAAAGUGUGGGGAGCAAAACAGGAUUAGAUACC
Molecule: ribosomal RNA, 416 nt
Filed under: uncultured bacterium
Lineage: Bacteria
Description: bacterial SSU rRNA
Rfam family: Bacterial small subunit ribosomal RNA
Source: RNAcentral